CGGGAAUCGGGGAGGGGGUCCAAGCCGAGUGCACUUAAUUAACAAAUCAAUGAAACAGUUGGAAAAUCUUAGUAAUAUUUUACAUGAGAUCAAGGGCGGUGACUCACGCCUGUAGUCCCAGCACUUUGGGAGGCCGAGGCGGAGGUGGAGGGUCGCUUGAGGCCAGGAGUUCGAGACCAGCCUGGGCAACAUGCAACAGGAAGUCCCCAUCUCUGGGCACUGGCAGUCACCCAAGAGGACGAUGUGAAGAGCUGCGGUUGCUGCUCUAGGGAGAAGCUUGUGGGCUUGGGCAUAAAUAAUAUACAACAGCCUGAGCACUGUGGCUCAUGCCUGUAAUACCAGCAC
Long non-coding RNA from Chlorocebus sabaeus (green monkey), 345 nucleotides. RefSeq lists it as uncharacterized. NCBI's taxonomy places the organism in Eukaryota, Metazoa, Chordata, Mammalia, Primates, Cercopithecidae. The record is from RefSeq and is a predicted model, not a curated record.